This 446-nucleotide ribosomal RNA is filed under the name uncultured bacterium. RNAcentral's name for it is "bacterial SSU rRNA". It matches the Rfam family "Bacterial small subunit ribosomal RNA", at positions 33 to 507 of the family's 1533-position model. The record is from RNAcentral.
CAGAACGACGCUGGCGGCAUGCCUAACACAUGCAAGUCGAACGGGAUCCGGUCUUCGGUCCGGUGAGAGUGGCGGACGGGUGAGUAACACGUGGGAACCUGCCUUUUGGUUCGGGAUAACCGCGGGAAACUGCGGCUAAUACCGGAUACUCCCGAGAGGGGAAAGAUUUAUCGCCAGAAGAGGGGCCCGCGUCCGAUUAGGUAGUUGGUGGGGUAAUGGCCUACCAAGCCGACGAUCGGUAGCUGGUCUGAGAGGAUGAUCAGCCACACUGGGGACUGAGAUACGGCCCAGACUCCUACGGGAGGCAGCAGUGGGGAAUAUUGGACAAUGGGGGCAACCCUGAUCCAGCAAUGCCGCGUGAGUGAUGAAGGCCUUAGGGUUGUAAAGCUCUUUUGCCAGGGAAGAUGAUGACUGUACCUGGAGAAUAAGCCCCGGCUAACUUCGUG